ACGGGUGAAUAACGCGUGGGUCACCUACCCUGUACACACGGAUAACAUACCGAAAGGUAUGCUAAUACGGGAUAAUAUAUCUGAGAGGCAUCUCUUAAAUAUCAAAGGUGAGCCAGUACAGGAUGGACCCGCGUCCGAUUAGCUAGUUGGUAAGGUAACGGCUUACCAAGGCGACGAUCAGUAGCCGACCUGAGAGGGUGAUCGGCCACAUUGGAACUGAGACACGGUCCAAACUCCUACGGGAGGCAGCAGUGGGGAAUAUUGCACAAUGGGCGAAAGCCUGAUGCAGCAACGCCGCGUGAGUGAUGAAGGCCUUCGGGUCGUAAAACUCUGUCCUCAAGGAAGAUAAUGACGGUACUUGAGGAGGAAGCCCCGGCUAACUACGUGCCAGCAGCCGCGGUAAUACGUAGGGGGCUAGCGUUAUCCGGAUUUACUGGGCGUAAAGGGUGCGUAGGCGGUCUUUCAAGUCAGGAGUGAAAGGCUACGGCUCAACCGUAGUAAGCUCUUGAAACUGGGAGACUUGAGUGCAGGAGAGGAGAGUGGAAUUCCUAGUGUAGCGGUGAAAUGCGUAGAUAUUAGGAGGAACACCAGUUGCGAAGGCGGCUCUCUGGACUGUAACUGACGCUGAGGCACGAAAGCGUGGGGAGCAAACAGGAUUAGAUACCCUGGUAGUCCACGCUGUAAACGAUGAGUACUAGGUGUCGGGGGUUACCCCCCUCGGUGCCGCAGCUAACG
RNAcentral lists this ribosomal RNA (735 nucleotides) under uncultured bacterium. RNAcentral's name for it is "bacterial SSU rRNA". It matches the Rfam family "Bacterial small subunit ribosomal RNA", at positions 102 to 857 of the family's 1533-position model. The record is from RNAcentral.